GACAGAGGGGGCGAGCGUUGUCCGGAGUCACCGGGCGUAAAGCGCGCGCAGGCGGCAACCUUAGUGUCGAGUGAAAGCCCCCGGCUCAACCGGGGGAGGCCAUGGCAAACUGGGUCGCUCGAGCUGCGGAGAGGCCCCUCGAAUUGCCGGUGUAGCGGUGAAAUGCGUAGAGAUCGGCAGGAAGACCAAGGGGGAAGCCAGGGGGCUGGCCGCAGGCUGACGCUGAGGCGCGACAGCGUGGGGAGCAAACCGG
Molecule: ribosomal RNA, 253 nt
Filed under: uncultured bacterium
Lineage: Bacteria
Description: partial 16S ribosomal RNA
Rfam family: Bacterial small subunit ribosomal RNA
Source: RNAcentral